CGGGCCCGCACAAGCAGCGGAGCGUGUGGUUUAAUUCGAUGCUACACGAAGAACCUUACCAGGGUUUGACAUGCAAGUGGUAGGAACCGAAAGGCGACGACCUUCGGGGAGCUUGCACAGGUGCUGCAUGGCUGUCGUCAGCUCGUGUCGUGAGAUGUUGGGUUAAGUCCCGCAACGAGCGCAACCCUUAUCAUUAGUUGCUACGCAAGGGCACUCUAAUGAGACUGCCGGUGACAAACCGGAGGAAAGGUGGGGGAUGGACGUCAAGUCCUCAUGGCCCUUAUGGGUAGGGCUUCACACGUCAUACAAUGGUCGGUACAGAGGGUUGCCAAGCCGCGAGGUGGGAGCCAAUCCCAGAAAGCCGAUCGUAGUCCGGAUUGUUCUCUGCAACUCGAGAGCAUGAAGUCGGAAUCGCUAGUAAUCGCGGAUCAGCAUGUCGCGGUGAAUACGUUCCCGGGCCUU
This 462-nucleotide ribosomal RNA is filed under the name uncultured Thiobacillus sp. RNAcentral describes it as "bacterial SSU rRNA". It matches the Rfam family "Bacterial small subunit ribosomal RNA", at positions 917 to 1381 of the family's 1533-position model. Lineage: Bacteria; Pseudomonadati; Pseudomonadota; Betaproteobacteria; Nitrosomonadales; Thiobacillaceae. The record is from RNAcentral.